CUGAAUACAUGUGCGUGGAACCUGGCACCCAUGCAUCUCUGUCGUCUUUAAUGGGAGUCCACACCGCUUUAAGAAUGGAUCAGAUAUCAACAUCAGCUGCAGACUGUCAAUUGUAACACUUCCAGGUGGUUACCACAUCAAGCAUCCCAAGCAGCAUAUUGCUGGAAGUGCCACAUAACAGGUUAACUCUUGAAAGCAGAAGAAAAGUAGUGGGCUCAAAGGAUAUCUUGUUUUUUCCAAGCCAAGUGCUGUUUUCUUGAACCUCUUGUAAAUGGAAGACCUCUGCUAAAGGAUUCUGAACUCUGCAGGGCAGAGGCUGCCUCUCGCUGUCUGUACAAUGCCUAGCACAAUAGAGCCCAAAUCUUAAUUGGGGACUCCAGAUGAUACUGUAACAAUUUAAUAAUGACAACUUAUUGGAGCUCUGGAACUUCUGAUUGGAGCCUGAUACUGGAGACCACAGAACACAUUCUGCUGUGUGGUACAUUGAGGAAGAUGCAAGAGAAACAGGUUCUCCCUUCCUUCUGGAGGAAGGCUACUGUGAUACAUUGGCGUGCUGCUUUUACAUUCUGGACUGAGCUCAGUUGCUGGCAUUCCGGUCACCUGAUUGUGUGAAUGGUUUUUACAGUUGCAAGAAAUUAAUUAUUUUUUAAAAAUAAUUUUGCUUCUAACAUGCUGAUGUUGGGGGCUCUGAGCACAUAAUGCACAUGGCAGAGGAGAUACGGAUUGACUUUCCUGAAACUCAGUGCAGAUACUCUUCAACCUGUUCUCCAUUUCAUGGUAUUAGUUGUUAAGAACAGGGAGGAACAAAUGCAGGCAGCUGGUUUUCCAGAUAACGCACUUAGCCUUAUAGGACCCAUUGAACAAUGACAGCACAUAAUGCUGGUUGGUUGUUGGGGAUUAUAUUUUUCUGAGCAAUUUUAUUUAUGACACGAUUUUGAUUUUUUUUAAGAUGAUAGCCUUACAGGGGGGAAAGGGAAAUGCAAAUAAAUAGUGUCAAUUAUUGACAUCCCAUUCCCAUUGCUUAAAGUAUUAUUAUCAAAAUCUUGACAUAAGAGGCCAAGCUUUGGCUGGUCUCUAUGCAGGGACUCAAGGUGGGAACCCCACCUGCACACUCUCUCUGUGCAUGGGCCAGCCACAAUUGAUGUCCUUGUGCUCUGAUAACCACAGGGGCUGCUCCCCGCUGUGCCCCUUGAGAUACUUGUCACGCCAAACAUGGCAGGGAAGAGGUGGACCUUGGAAAGUACAAUCUGCAAUCCCCACCACAACGAGCCUGCCCUACCACUUCCGCAUCCCAUUUAGGGUGACUGAUAUCCCAUGGAGCACUAGCCAGGAGCAGUCCAUGUGCUCAGGGAAGCAUGGAGACUGCAAUUGUGGUCGGUUCCCUAUAGGCUUAGGGAUGGAAGGAUGGGGGUGGAAUAGUCUUGUACCCUUCUUUAGUACCCAAACAAGGCUAGCUCCCAUCUGGCCCUAGAUAUAAAAUGCUUUUUAUCUUCAAAGUGCUUUGCAAAAAUGAAGUUGUGACCGUGCACCCCAUAAAGCUUUAUGGAAAUAUGCUUAUG
This is a long non-coding RNA of Trachemys scripta elegans, 1559 nucleotides long. RefSeq lists it as uncharacterized. The record is from RefSeq and is a predicted model, not a curated record. NCBI's taxonomy places the organism in Eukaryota, Metazoa, Chordata, Testudines, Emydidae. The transcript is spliced from 3 exons.